UAGGGAAUCUUCGGCAAUGGACGGAAGUCUGACCGAGCAACGCCGCGUGAGUGAAGAAGGUUUUCGGAUCGUAAAGCUCUGUUGUAAGAGAAGAACGAGUGUGAGAGUGGAAAGUUCACACUGUGACGGUAUCUUACCAGAAAGGGACGGCUAACUACGUGCCAGCAGCCGCGGUAAUACGUAGGUCCCGAGCGUUGUCCGGAUUUAUUGGGCGUAAAGCGAGCGCAGGCGGUUAGAUAAGUCUGAAGUUAAAGGCUGUGGCUUAACCAUAGUACGCUUUGGAAACUGUUUAACUUGAGUGCAAGAGGGGAGAGUGGAAUUCCAUGUGUAGCGGUGAAAUGCGUAGAUAUAUGGAGGAACACCGGUGGCGAAAGCGGCUCUCUGGCUUGUAACUGACGCUGAGGCUCGAAAGCGUGGGGAGCAAACAGGAUUAGAUACCCUGGUAGUCCACGCCGUAAACGAUGAGUGCUAGGUGUUAGACCCUUUCCGGGGUUUAGUGNCGUAGCUAACGCAUUAAGCACUCCGCCUGGGGAGUACGACCGCAAGGNUG
This 550-nucleotide ribosomal RNA is filed under the name uncultured bacterium. Its description in RNAcentral is "bacterial SSU rRNA". It matches the Rfam family "Bacterial small subunit ribosomal RNA", at positions 355 to 896 of the family's 1533-position model. The record is from RNAcentral.